Molecule: ribosomal RNA, 257 nt
Filed under: uncultured bacterium
Lineage: Bacteria
Description: partial 16S ribosomal RNA
Rfam family: Bacterial small subunit ribosomal RNA
Source: RNAcentral
UCAGAGUUGAUCUGGCUCAGGACGAACGCUGGCGGCGUGCCUAACACAUGCAAGUCGAACGGAAGUUAGAGCUUCGGUUUUAACUUUAGUGGCGAACGGGUGAGUAACGCGUGAGGAACCUGCCUUUCAGUGGGGGACAACAGUUGGAAACGACUGCUAAUACCGCAUGACACUUUUGGGAGACAUCUCCUGGAAGUCAAAGCUUUAUGUGCUGAAAGAUGGCCUCGCGUCUGAUUAGCUGGUUGGUGAGGUAACGG